Molecule: ribosomal RNA, 516 nt
Filed under: Ctenotus inornatus
Lineage: Eukaryota; Metazoa; Chordata; Lepidosauria; Squamata; Scincidae
Description: partial 16S ribosomal RNA
Rfam family: Bacterial large subunit ribosomal RNA
Source: RNAcentral
GUAUUAGAGGUCCUGCCUGCCCAGUGAAACUUUUAAACGGCCGCGGUAUUCUAACCGUGCAAAGGUAGCGUAAUCACUUGUCUUCUAAAUAGAGACCAGUAUGAACGGCUAAAUGAGGAUAAACCUGUCUCCUACAACCAAUCAGUGAAACUGAUCUUCCAGUUCAAAAACUGGGAUAUUACCAUAAGACGAGAAGACCCUGUGGAGCUUAAAAUUACCUACUACCAACCAUUAAAACUAGUACAAGAUUUUAAGUUGGGGCGACUUCGGAACAAAACAAAACUUCCGAGCACAGAACCAUAACUUCUAACAAAGGCAGACAUGCCAAAGCUAAAACAGACCCAGUCAUACUGACCAACGAACCAAGUUACCCCAGGGAUAACAGCGCUAUCUUCUUCAAGAGUUCAUAUCGACAAGAAGGUUUACGACCUCGAUGUUGGAUCAGGGCACCCAAAUGGUGCAACCGCUAUUAAAGGUUCGUUUGUUCAACGAUUAACAGCCCUACGUGAUCUGAGU